This is an RNA transcript of Cavia porcellus (domestic guinea pig), 3944 nucleotides long. It is a transcript of the gene named solute carrier organic anion transporter family member 5A1, with no coding region annotated. Lineage: Eukaryota; Metazoa; Chordata; Mammalia; Rodentia; Caviidae. The transcript is spliced from 10 exons. The record is from RefSeq and is a predicted model, not a curated record.
GAUGCCCGGCCGCGCGGCUCUGCCAACCCCAGCCCCGCUCCCAAGUGGGCACGACUGAGGGGGCCUGGCUUCGGGCUCUGGUGCCGGUGGAUGAAAAGCCUGGGAGCCCCGGUGUGGGGUCAGAGAGCCAAUCCGAAUUCGAAAAGCCAUGGACGGAAGUCCUGGGCCGCAGCCCCCCGGGGAAGGGCAGCAGCAGCAGGCGCGGGCCGCGGCAGGAGCUGUCCAAGAGCAGGGCGAGCCCGAGACCUUCAGGUCCAAGAGUUUGCCGGUCCUGAACAGCGCCUCCUGCCGGCCGAGCCGCAGUCCUGUGCGAGUGGACGUCCAGCCGGCCUUCGCCCGCUUGGAUUCUUUGGGCCAUCAGGAGCUGAAGCAAGGCCAGGACCUGUUGGCUCCCAGCCCCUCAGCCCCGACCCCCUCGGACGGGACUGCGGGGCCUGUGGACUGCAGCCACAGGGUGGACCUCACCAAGGAGCCGCUGGCCCCGCUCCGGGACACAAGGUGCCUCUACAUGGUCCUCACCGACUCCCGCUGCUUCCUGGUUUGCAUGUGCUUUCUGACUUUCAUCCAGGCGCUGAUGGUCUCCGGCUACCUGAGCAGCGUCAUCACCACCAUCGAAAGGCGCUACAGCCUGAAGAGCUCCGAGUCCGGGCUGCUGGUCAGCUGCUUUGACAUCGGGAACCUGGUGGUGGUGGUGUUCGUCAGCUACUUCGGUGGCCGCGGGCGGCGGCCCCUGUGGCUGGCGGUGGGCGGCCUGCUCAUCGCGGUCGGGGCUGCGCUCUUCGCCUUACCUCACUUCAUCUCCCCACCCUACCAGAUCCAGGAGCUGAACGCCUCGGCCUCCAACGACGGCCUGUGUCAGAAUGGCAACUCCACCACCACUGUGGAGCUUCCUCCUCCCUGCCCGAAGGACUCGGGAGGAAACAACCACUGGGUCUACGUGGCUUUAUUCAUCUGUGCACAGAUCCUCAUUGGAAUGGGCUCCACACCUAUUUACACCCUGGGACCAACCUACCUAGAUGAUAAUGUUAAGAAGGAAAACGCAUCCCUGUACCUCGCCAUCAUGUAUGUCAUGGGAGCGCUUGGCCCGGCAGUGGGAUAUUUAUUAGGUGGACUUCUUAUUGGUUUUUAUGUUGAUCCCAGAAAUCCUGUUCACCUUGACCAGAAUGAUCCUCGCUUCAUUGGAAACUGGUGGAGUGGAUUCCUCCUUUGUGCCAUUGCAAUGUUUCUUGUGAUAUUCCCAAUGUUUACUUUUCCAAAAAAGCUUCCACCUCGACACAAGAAAAAGAAAAAGAAAAAAUUCUCUGUGGAUGCUGUGAGCGAUGAUGACGUCAUAAAAGAGAAAUCAAACAAUAGUGAACAAGUGGACAAAAGGGUUUCCUCAAUGGGAUUUGGAAAGAAUGUCAGAGACCUACCAAGAGCAGCUGUCAGGAUCUUAAGCAACAUGACAUUCCUUUUUGUGAGUCUGUCAUACACAGCUGAGAGUGCCAUUGUAACUGCUUUCAUUACCUUCAUUCCCAAGUUCAUCGAGUCACAGUUUGGUAUCCCAGCUUCCAAUGCCAGCAUCUACACUGGUGUUAUUAUCGUCCCCAGUGCUGGUGUUGGUAUUGUCUUGGGAGGCUACAUUAUAAAAAAAUUGAAACUUGGUGCAAGAGAAUCUGCAAAGCUAGCAAUGAUCUGCAGUGGUGUGUCCUUACUGUGUUUUUCAACCUUGUUCAUUGUUGGAUGUGAGAGUAUUAAUCUAGGGGGCAUAAACAUCCCAUAUACAACAGGACCUUCUCUGACCAUGCCCCACAGGAAUCUGACGGGAAGCUGCAAUGUUAACUGUGGUUGUAAAAUACACGAGUAUGAACCAGUGUGUGGAUCGGAUGGGAUUACAUACUUUAACCCUUGUCUGGCUGGCUGCAUUAAUAGUGGCAAUCUUAGCACGGGGAUUCGGAAUUACACUGAAUGCACCUGCGUCCAGAGCCGCCAAGUGAUCACCCCACCCACCGUGGGGCAGCGUGGCCAGCUCCGAGUGGUGAUAGUCAAAACCUAUCUGAACGAGAAUGGGUAUGCUGUGUCGGGGAAGUGCAAGCGGACCUGCAACACGCUCAUCCCCUUCUUAGUGUUCCUGUUCAUUGUCACCUUCAUCACAGCGUGUGCCCAGCCGUCAGCCAUCAUAGUCACACUCAGGUCUGUGGAAGACGAAGAGAGACCUUUCGCUCUGGGGAUGCAGUUUGUCUUGCUGCGAACACUUGCGUACAUUCCGACUCCCAUCUACUUUGGAGCAGUGAUCGACACCACCUGCAUGCUGUGGCAGCAGGACUGCGGGGUGCAGGGCUCCUGCUGGGAGUACAACGUGACGUCCUUCCGUUUCGUCUACUUCGGCUUGGCGGCUGGCCUCAAGUUCGUGGGCUUUAUUUUUAUUUUCCUGGCCUGGUACUCCAUUAAGUGCAAGGAGGACGAGGUGCAGAGGCAGCAGCGCCGAGAGCUGCCCCUCAGCACGGUGAGCGAGCUCGUGCGCCAGCCCGACGCUGCGGCGAAGCACGCCCGGACUACCUCGUGCCCGGCCUUCUGCACCCCGGGGGAGGUCCCCGAAGACACUGGCUUGCAGAAAGGCGUGGCCUCUGCAGUGCAGACCUCCCCCGGGCCCUUCCCGGAAGCAAUAAGCUCCUCUGCAGAGCCAGGGUUGGCGGAGAGCCCUGCUGCCGUGUAGCCCGCCUGCGGAAGCUGGGAAACCACUCGUUUUGUUGGUUGAGUUGAACACGGCGACUUGAGAAACACCUGUGCCUUCUUUUUCUUUUUUAACCUCUACAGACACAAUCUCAACCCAACAAAACUCAUUGUACACAGCCACUACGGACUGAGGGCUGGAUACCUCAACGAGACUGGAGCCUUUCUCUCCCCUCUGCAAGGAGGAGGUCGGUAGAUUCGGUACUUCUCCUGCUGUGGUAGUUUACUGCUCAUGCUGCAGUGUGGGGUGAGACUGAGGUCCGUGGUUGACACAACCACGGAAAGGGCAGUGGCCCUGGGUGUCGUUAGGAUAUACUUCAAAUCGUGACUUUGCUUUUGCAAAUCGAAGAUUUUAGAUUUGGAUGUCUACUGUGAGCUCUGCUACAAAGCACAAAUGAAUUUGCCUCAUCUAUGCAAUUUGAUUGGGAAAAUCUGAUCCAUGAACUCCACGCUGCAAGAGUGAAGCGUCUGAGGGGGACUGCUUUUCUAUGGGUAACUCAAAUGCUUUUGAUAUGAAUUUCACAAGAAUGAUCAGAUGCUAAAACUGAUUUCAAAGAUAGGUAAAACUAUUUCAGAUAAUCUUUUCAUAUUUUUUUUCCUCCAAACAGCAUACACCCAUGUGGGGUGUUUUUAGCAGUGAGGUUUUAAAGGUAUUGUCCUUUUCUGGUAGUCUAUCAGAAGAAGUCAACAUUUACAGAGAAAAUGUCACUGAAAACUAAUUGCAAGGAUGUAUUAAACCAAAGGGGUGAGAAAAAGAAGCUUACGGUUUGUAUGUAGAACUAGAAAAUAGAAAUAAUUGGUAAGAUUUGGCAGUGGGCAUUUUUCUUAAAAUAGAUAUACCUCUACCCCAACCCCCAAAUGUUAACGUAGAAGCAUGAAGCCUCUUAACACGGCAGCUUGAGGAGAUGCAGUCCUGUGUCGAAGGAGCCGGCGGUAGAGUCUCAGUGGAGUGUGAGUUCAGUGUGCUUGUGUUUCUCUGUGUAGAGGUGUGCUUGUGACGAAGGGCUGCUCUGAGUUAUUACAUAAAGGAGUUUGCUUUGUGAUUUUUAAGAUGAAUGUUUAUUCAGAGGCCUACCUGGAUUAAUUUAAAAGAUGUAUGCCUUCCUUGUGUUCAAUGAAACUGAUUGUCAAUGUACUGAUAAACCUUGGUUUACAAUAUCUUGAAUACUUGAUCAUUGAAUAUUAAGGAAAAAAAUUUUAAAAAAUGAAUAAAGUGUGUGGCAUUGAAAUUA